Legionella quinlivanii is the source of this 97-nucleotide non-coding RNA. It matches the Rfam family "Bacterial small signal recognition particle RNA". From Rfam's summary of the family: The signal recognition particle (SRP) is a universally conserved ribonucleoprotein involved in the co-translational targeting of proteins to membranes. Archaeal SRP consists of a 7S RNA and homologues of the eukaryotic SRP19 and SRP54 proteins. In most bacteria, the SRP consists of a 4.5S RNA and the Ffh protein (a homologue of the eukaryotic SRP54 protein). NCBI's taxonomy places the organism in Bacteria, Pseudomonadati, Pseudomonadota, Gammaproteobacteria, Legionellales, Legionellaceae. The record is from Rfam.
CAUUGGUCCCCACGCGACGAUAGAUUAUGAACCCCGUCAGGCCCGGAAGGGAGCAGCGGUAGUAAUUGAUUCGGGCGCCGAGGUGUGGCUUCUGAAG